This 499-nucleotide ribosomal RNA is filed under the name uncultured bacterium. RNAcentral's name for it is "partial 16S ribosomal RNA". It matches the Rfam family "Bacterial small subunit ribosomal RNA", at positions 28 to 507 of the family's 1533-position model. The record is from RNAcentral.
GACGAACGCUGGCGGCGUGCCUAAUACAUGCAAGUCGAGCGGACUGAAUGGGAGCUUGCUCUUGUUCGGUCAGCGGCGGACGGGUGAGUAACACGUGGGCAACCUGCCCGCAAGACCGGGAUAACUCCGGGAAACCGGAGCUAAUACCGGAUAACACCGAAGACCGCAUGGUCUUUGGUUGAAAGGCGGCGCAAGCUGCCACUUGCGGAUGGGCCCGCGGCGCAUUAGCUAGUUGGUGAGGUAACGGCUCACCAAGGCGACGAUGCGUAGCCGGCCUGAGAGGGUGACCGGCCACACUGGGACUGAGACACGGCCCAGACUCCUACGGGAGGCAGCAGUAGGGAAGCUUCCGCAAUGGGCGAAAGCCUGACGGAGCGACGCCGCGUGAGCGAAGAAGGCCUUCGGGUCGUAAAGCUCUGUUGUGAGGGACGAAGGAGCGCCGUUUGAAGAAGGCGGCGCGGUGACGGUACCUCACGAGGAAGCCCCGGCUAACUACGUG